GGCCGCGGGAAUUCGAUUCAGACCUAACACAUGCAAGUCGAACGAGACCUUCGGGUCUAGUGGCGCACGGGUGCGUAACGCGUGGGAAUCUGCCCUUGGGUUCGGAAUAACUCAGAGAAAUUUGAGCUAAUACCGGAUGAUGACGAAAGUCCAAAGAUUUAUCGCCCAAGGAUGAGCCCGCGUAAGAUUAGCUUGUUGGUGGGGUAAUGGCCUACCAAGGCGACGAUCUUUAGCUGGUCUGAGAGGAUGAUCAGCCACACUGGGACUGAGACACGGCCCAGACUCCUACGGGAGGCAGCAGUGGGGAAUAUUGGAAAGGGGGCGAAAGCCUGAUCCAGCAAUGCCGCGUGAUUUAUGGGGCCUUAGGGUUGUAAAGCUCUUUACCAGGGAUGAUA
This 395-nucleotide ribosomal RNA is filed under the name uncultured bacterium. RNAcentral's name for it is "bacterial SSU rRNA". It matches the Rfam family "Bacterial small subunit ribosomal RNA", at positions 39 to 450 of the family's 1533-position model. The record is from RNAcentral.